ACUAAUUUGCUAUUCGGUGACAUAAGAGGGGGAGUGCGCUUUGCUUCCCCGGGGUCUGGGGCUCAUUUCUCCUCUCUUCCCCAUAAACUCAGCUCCUCAGAGCUCAAAACACAAAAGGAAGCGAGAGGUUCGAACCUUUGGGAAAAGUCUGUUAUAUAUAGUAGGUUUCGGGGCGAGUAAGAGAGAGAAAAAAAAAAAAAUAAACACCACAGCUCUUUCCAGCUAGAAUAUUAGGCACCACGAGAAAAAUAUUUGCCAAGCAGUUUUCGGUCUUGGUUCCCCCCCGCUCUCUCCCAGCUCGUUUCAAGGUCGUUGUUCAAAACCUCUCCUGUCUGUGUUUAAAGAGACCAGCCGGAGGGAAUUCUAAAGGCCUGCGGUGCCAGUAUCACAGAUACUGCGUGGAUUUAGAACAGACUGUGCUACAACUACAACGCGGUUCACGCAGCACAGUCCUCUUAGUUUUAGAGCUGAGUUAGGAGGAGGAGGAAAAGGGGGGAAAUCUUUCUUUCUUCCUUCCUUUCUUUUUAAAGGCAAAUGCAGUGCAGAAUCAUUUCACUGUGGGCCUUGGUUUGUUUAUUCAGAACUGCCAGUUUCCCUAUUUAAAUGUUGGUUGGGGUUUUUUUCCCCUCCUACUCAUCCCUGAAUGAGGGAGACUCUUGUUUCUUUUAUGUCUCUCUCUUAAAAGAGGGUGUGAGGGGAAAAUAAUAUUUCAGAUUCCUCAAGUAUUAACCCAAAAUGUUUGGACCAGAAGCAGCUUUCAAAGGUCAGGCUGUUCUGAGCCUUGGCUAUGAAAGUCCUUCAGGCGGACUCAUUAAAUUACAGAGGAGUUCUUAAAGGUUCCACAAAAUUUCUGCGCAUGUUAAUUUCCAAUAAAGAUCUCUCCCCAAAUAAUCUACCUCUCCAAAUUUGGGUUUAUAGUGGAGAAGUGAGCAGAGAGAUUACUGGCUAUUUCCUGGGAUAUUUGGGGAUCUCUUUCCCAGAAGUCUGUAAGAAGUUCAGAUCUGUUGCUGAAAAUGUCAGUGCAGCCCCCCUUUUGAAAAGGCCGUGUUGGAGUUUUUAGAACCAGGAGAGAUCCAAAGGGAUCGAUUGUUUUCCACAAGGGCUGGAGCUUAGGAAAAAUGACUAAAGUGUGUCUGUCCCUUUGAAAUCUGAAUAUUUUAAUACUUAUUGACAGAUGGAUUACUGCAGCUUCUGCAGAAAAGCCUGUCUUGUGAAGGUUUUUUGAAAAAUAUACAUAGGCCUAAUCCUGUCACCCUUGUGGAAAUGAACAUUUUACCCCCGAAGACACACGUUAUCAUUAAGUGCAGAUUCAUUUUGCCAGAAGGCAGACUGUUUUUUAAAUUGUCCCCUUCCUCCUGAGUUCGAAAGAGUUUUAAAGGAAUCCCACCGGAUUCUAAAUGACACCCGGUUUUGCUGAAGCGAUCGUCUUUGUGUAUUUCUAUGGGUGAUAAUUUUUGUAUUUUUUAUUAGUAUGUUCUCAGGUGUAUCUGUGUGGUUUGGAAUGUGAAUUGUGUGGUUCUCCCCUGCUACUGAUUCUGCAGUGUGAUAACUUUUGUGAUGUGGGGUCCCUUUUCUUGUCAAAGUUGCCAUCCAGCCUCAGUGGGUCCUCCCCACCACCACUUUAAACACACUGCUUGUCCCUCUCGCGUUCUCUUUGCCACUCCAAUCUUAGCCCCGUGGGGGCGCUGCAGAGCAAAGGGAAAUCUGCUCUCUAGCAGUAGAACCAACCAGAGUGGGGGCUGGGAGUGAAUUCACCCUUCUAGUUCCUCAGCCCUCUAAUUCUCUGCGAGAAGUCUGUAAAGGAAGACCCCACUAGGCCUGGUUUAUAGCUAAUUAAUCCCAUCACCAGGGGCCUCAGACCUUUUCUGGGGCCAAGUGCCAGAGUCCCACAUUUCUAAUACUACCCACCCCCCCCCCAAACUGAAAGAAAUUAACCAGGAGAUGUUAAAAGAAAAAAAAUUAUUGAAAAUAUUUUAAAGGUAAGGAUUUACAUUUUGUAGGUCCCCUUCUCUUUUCCAAAUGAGUGGUGAGGAAAAUUGUGCACCCACAUCUCAAUCUCUUUUCAAUUACUAGGAAAGUAACUUUAUCAGAUGUUUUAUACCCAUUGAAUUUCUUCCAUAAUGUCCUGCCUUCUCUCAUUUCUUGAUUUCUCCCCAUUAGUAACCAGUUGGCAUCACUCUGUGAACCUCCCUCACCCCAGCAGUGAUAAGAUUAAAGGAAGGAUUGACUUGAAUAUAUUCAAAUUCUUUCAAAUCAUCCAUAAGAAGACCUGAAGAGAGAUUUCAUGUCUGGGGUCUUAUGUGUGAUUCUUGUGAACUUGGUGGGUUAUGUAUCAAACCAGUCCUAUGAUUUAAUGGCUUCUGGCUAUUAAUACUCAAAGUAGAGGAUCAAGUUAGCCCGUUUGCCUGGUGGUUUGGGCAUGGUAAUAGGUUCUUAAUCACAAGUUCUGGGUAAAUAUAAGCUUUGUUGCAAAAUAAAAUAGCUUGGUCUUAAUAUUACAUCUGUUUAAGGAAAGGAACAGAUUUUGCAUCCAGUUCCCUCACAAAUUUCCCAAUAUAGUCACAGCUGUAACGGAGCUAUCCUUGGAGUAAACACUGUCUUGUCCUCUUUCUAAGGGGACUCCCAAGAGGAAGUUGGUUUCACCUGUCAGGAAUUUCUGGCACCUUGGUAGAUCUUGAAACUGUCACAUAAGAGAAUUAUAGAUUUUAGGACUGGAAGGAACUUUGCAGAUCAAUCAACUCCUCGAGGCUUCCUUCUUUCAAGAGGACAGGAGGGCCAUCACUGGAGGCAUGCGGGACCCCGAGACACAACUGAAAACAGGUCUUUGUGGUUCUAUGGUCCUGUGUUAGAGAAUCAGGAAGAUCUGACUACCUGGGCUUUGAGCCUCCACCCGCAGAACCCUUUGAGCUGCCUGAAAUCCGAGUCAUUAAACUGUUCCCUGAGGUCAGACCACAGAUGCCCGAUGCAUGUUUCCUCCAUGUCAACGUCUAUGUAACAUGUACAUACAGAGACACACGCAAAAAAGUGUGUAACUGCGGGGGCACAGUGUGAGGUAGGAGAAGAAACAAAACAAAACUGGAUUUGCUGCCAGAAGACCUUGGUUUCUAAUUACAGUUCUGCCAGGAACUCCUUAUCUGAUGUGGAACAAAACCACUUGUCAGGACUCAGCCUCCUUAACUGUGUGAAGGUAUAACCCCAGUGUCUGCAGAAUGUCUAUCAGUUCUAAAUUUAAUACCUUUAUGUCUAAAUAUAUAUAUAUCUGUAACUUUAAGAUGGAGAGGGGAAUGGAAAGAAGCUGAGUAUAUAUGUGUCCCUGAGGUGGGAGAAAGAGUUAAAAUGUAAACUUCUAAGUAAAGAAGGCAGUCCCAGAAUCCUCACCCUAUCAAUUUUUAACCAAUUGUAGACCAAAGUCUGAGAUUAUGCUGAAUAGGUCCAAAAGCCAAUUGAAGAUUUCAAAUGUUAAGAGCUGGAAGUGCCAGUUCUAAGACCUUGUACCUUUGAUCUCCUGCAUUCCUAUCAGAUGUGACAGUUCCCAAGUGUCUUUUCUGCACCACAGUUCAGUCCCGCCCCACCACUUCUAUUUGUUUUUGGAAUCGGUCCUAGUCAGUGACAGGAAGGAGUUGACACUUGUAAACCAUGCACACUCUAAGCCACUGGGUCCCAUGUGGAUGUAAAAAAUAUGUCAUAAUAUUCAUACAGAAGGAGAAGAAAAAAAAAAAACCUAGAUAGAAAUUCCUGGUAAGAAACUGAGAGGUAGCUCAGCCAUCACUGCAUUAAAAGUAAUUAUUUGAAGUCAGAGGAAAUAACAGAUGAGGAGUUUGACCUUACCAAAAAAAAAAAAAAAAAAAGCCUUCCUCUACCAAAACAAAGGCAAUGAUAGAGAUCCUUUCUGCCAAUAUUUCCUAUACUUCUGUGAUCUCCAUUCUUUAAAAAGAAAGGUCUGAUUGUCUUAAGCAAAAGGCCUUUAACGGACCUUGGAAUCUUCAGGAAAUAAAAGUAACUCCUAUUUAUUAACAGCGACCUCCCCACCACCACCAUCCCUCCAUUUAAACCUUCUGGAAUAUUGAUGCCUGUUUACAAGGAGAGAUGGAGCCAGUUCCAUUCUCUCAAUGAAAAACUAUUGAGAGUUAUAAUAGGCUAGCACUGGGAAGUGAAAGUGAGUCACUCAGUGGUGUCUAGACUCUUUGUGACCCUAUGGAUGAUAUAGUCUGUGGAAUUCUGCAGGCCAGAGUACUGGAGUGGGUAGCCUUUCCCUUCUCCAGGGCAUCUUCCCAACCCGGGGAUUGAGCCCAGGUCUCCUGCAUUCCAGGCAGAUUCUUCACCAGCUGAGCCACCAGGGAAGCCAAAGAAUACUGGAAUGCAUAGCCUAUCCCUUCUCCAGUGGAUCUUCCUGAUGCAGGAAUUGAACCGGGGUCUCCUGCAUUGCUGGUGGAUUCUCUACCAGCUGAGCUACCAGGGAAGCCCUCUGUCCUCAGCCAUUGUCUGAUUCACAACUGAUUUUGUAUCAUUGGAAACUGAGGCCCACACAGAAUGUAUUUGCCACACACACUGGAUCAGGCUGAGUCAGAUCCAGAACUUUGAUGUCCUGGUUCUAAAUCCACUGUGUUUUUCCAUAGCUUAUCAUGAGAAGAGGAUAUAGGGUGGGCAGACCUGCCAAAGAGCCAUUUUCUGUAGCCUUACAUUUUCUGUGACCUUCAGAGAAGUCCCCACUUUUGGACUCCUGAGAUGAUCGCCACUGAGGUUCUACAUCAGCCUUAACAGUACAAUGGCAGUAUGGAAAGGAGCAGACUGGCAUUCCCAAGUUCUGCCUGUGGGUCCCAGUGAGGGACGCCGUAUAGGAUUCCUCACAGUUUCCUAUGGUACUGUGACUUAUCACUGUUAAUAAACCUAUAAUUACCUCAUGAGUAGUGCGAUUGCAUUGUAAUUGUGUGUAUGUUGGUGUUAAAAGUGUAAAACUUAAUGUAUUUUUGGCCUAGAAACAAUGAUGCUACGAUAGCCAAGAGCCCACCUGGUGCCAUUUCUUGAUUUCUUGAACCAGCCUUGGAUAAAUGGCUGGUCCUAGGCUAGGACUGGGGCAAGAAGUAUAUAUGAAAUUAGAAUGGAACAUUAUAUAGCACUGUAAAUAAGGAAUUGCUGAAAAACAAACAAGAACUGCAUCCAUAGAGUAUUUCAAAGAGACUGGAGCCACCUGAAGAACUCCCAAUGGCCAAAGCUGGAAAAUUUGGAGCAAGAAAAAGAAAUCGACUAGUAUUGGAUCACAACCCAAAGUAUAAAAGAAAUAUCCAUGAAUCUACACUGAUCUAAAUUACUAAAUAAAUUAACAAAAGAGAAAAGAGAAAAAUUUCUUUUGCAGAAGAAUUCCAAAGAAUUUGUGUAGAUACACUGCUGUCAAGGAUGGGAAUAGGUAUAUAACUGCUCACUCCUGAAGUGUGAGCUAUGGGUAAUGACUUCCUUCCAAAGAGUACAGUUUAGGAAGGGACGGGGGAGGCAAUAAUUUUACAUGGAGAAAUCUAGCAAACACUACUCCAGCCACUUCAUCAAGAGCAACAUCAGCAAUUAUAAACCGUGUUGACUGUGUGUACCUUUGAUAUGAGGAAUCCGAACAUGGCUCUUUAACUCUGUGAUCUUUCUUCCAUACCUCAGACUAUUUAUGAGAAAGGUAUCAGACAGAUUUCUACAGAAGGGCAUCCUACAAAAGACAUCACCAGAAUUCCCCAAAACUAUCGCGGGAAGUCUGAGAAAUUGCUACAGCCAAGAGCAACCUCGCACAAGAUGACAAUAUAAUGUAGAGUCCUUGGUGGGGUCAUAGAAAAAGAUAAACCCAGACAAAUCUGAAUAAUUGACAGAAUUUAGUUAAUAAUAUUUCAUCAGUGUUGUUUCAUUAAUUGUUACAAAUGUUCCAUUGUAAUAUAAAAUGUUAAUGAUAAUGAGAAAAUGG
Molecule: long non-coding RNA, 5938 nt
Organism: Budorcas taxicolor (takin)
Lineage: Eukaryota; Metazoa; Chordata; Mammalia; Artiodactyla; Bovidae
Exons: 3
Source: RefSeq, a predicted model, not a curated record